This 506-nucleotide ribosomal RNA is filed under the name uncultured bacterium. Its description in RNAcentral is "partial 16S ribosomal RNA". It matches the Rfam family "Bacterial small subunit ribosomal RNA", at positions 30 to 523 of the family's 1533-position model. The record is from RNAcentral.
AUUGAACGCUGGCGGCAGGCCUAACACAUGCAAGUCGAACGGCAGCGGGGGAUAGCUUGCUAUCCUGCCGGCGAGUGGCGGACGGGUGAGUAAUGCAUGGGGAGCUGCCCAGUCGAGGGGGAUAACAACUGGAAACGGUUGCUAAUACCGCAUACGCCCUAAGGGGGAAAGGUGGGGAACUUCGGUCCUACCGCGAUUGGAUGCGCCCAUGUGGGAUUAGCUAGUUGGUGAGGUAACGGCUCACCAAGGCGACGAUCUCUAGCUGGUCUGAGAGGAUGACCAGCCACACUGGAACUGAGACACGGUCCAGACUCCUACGGGAGGCAGCGGCGGGGAAUAUUGCACAAUGGGGGAAACCCUGAUGCAGCCAUGCCGCGUGUGUGAAGAAGGCCUUCGGGUUGUAAAGCACUUUCAGUCAGGAGGAAGGUGGUAAGGCUAAUAUCCUUAUCAAUUGACGUUACUGACAGAAGAAGCACCGGCUAACUCCGUGCCAGCCGCCGCAGUAA